AGAGUUUGAUCCUGGCUCAGAUUGAACGCUGGCGGCAUGCCUUACACAUGCAAGUCGAACGGCAGCACGGAGCUUGCUCUGGUGGCGAGUGGCGAACGGGUGAGUAAUAUAUCGGAACGUACCCUAGAGUGGGGGAUAACGUAGCGAAAGUUACGCUAAUACCGCAUACGAUCUAAGGAUGAAAGUGGGGGAUCGCAAGACCUCAUGCUCGUGGAGCGGCCGAUAUCUGAUUAGCUAGUUGGUAGGGUAAAAGCCUACCAAGGCAUCGAUCAGUAGCUGGUCUGAGAGGACGACCAGCCACACUGGAACUGAGACACGGUCCAGACUCCUACGGGAGGCAGCAGUGGGGAAUUUUGGACAAUGGGCGAAAGCCUGAUCCAGCAAUGCCGCGUGAGUGAAGAAGGCCUUCGGGUUGUAAAGCUCUUUUGUCAGGGAAGAAACGGUGAGAGCUAAUAUCUCUUGCUAAUGACGGUACCUGAAGAAUAAGCACCGGCUAACUACGUGCCAGCAGCCGCGGUAAUACGUAGGGUGCAAGCGUUAAUCGGAAUUACUGGGCGUAAAGCGUGCGCAGGCGGUUUUGUAAGUCUGAUGUGAAAUCCCCGGGCUCAACCUGGGAAUUGCAUUGGAGACUGCAAGGCUAGAAUCUGGCAGAGGGGGGUAGAAUUCCACGUGUAGCAGUGAAAUGCGUAG
This 690-nucleotide ribosomal RNA is filed under the name uncultured bacterium. Its description in RNAcentral is "bacterial SSU rRNA". It matches the Rfam family "Bacterial small subunit ribosomal RNA", at positions 8 to 693 of the family's 1533-position model. The record is from RNAcentral.